Long non-coding RNA from Sus scrofa (pig), 6278 nucleotides. RefSeq lists it as uncharacterized. Lineage: Eukaryota; Metazoa; Chordata; Mammalia; Artiodactyla; Suidae. The record is from RefSeq and is a predicted model, not a curated record.
UCAGGAACUUGUGCACAAUUCUCUGAUUGGUUGUUGGUGAGGGCAGGGGGCAGGUUCACUGGAUCAAUCCUUAGGCGCCAGUAGGUCUGGGGGCUGUGUGCUCAGAGUUAGGCAGUUAAUUUCUUCCUUUUGGUGGUGGUUUUAGCCUUUGUAAAACAACUCAGGAAACGUGUAUCAGAUCCUAUUAACUAGGUACUUCAGAGAGGAGCGAAUGCAGAGGAUGUGGGGGAAGGGCCCGGGGAGGCUCCAUAGGGUCCUGCUUGGUUACAGAGCGAGUCUGAGGUUGGUUUCUUCUCAGGGCUUUGCUGUGUUUUCCAAAUUUUCCAACUCAGAAACUGGGAUGUUCAGGGAAAAAAAAUGAUGCUCUAAAAAUCUAUAUCCACCCUUCCGCCCUCCCUCCAUUCCUUCCUUCCGGAUUCAGCCCAGAUUGAAGGAGACUAGAGAGGUGUGAAGCUUGGUUAUAACACCUGAUCCUGAACUGGAUGCACCUGCCCCAAAGAGCAUCAUUUGAGCAAUCAUCACGACUUGAAUAAAGUCCCUGGAUGAGAGGCGUAUGGGAGUUUCGGUUACAAUUAUGCCAUUUUUAUGUAAGUUGAAAACUCCAAGACGUGAUGGAAGCAUCUUAUCAUCAUCUUGGUGAGAUAAUAAGGCUCUUCUGUUGCUUGAAUUCCAAAGCAUCGUCAUAUGCCUCUCAGAACUUAAAAAAGAGUCUAAUAGUGGGUCUUUCUGGAAUAUCUUAUAGAUGGAAGUCCAUGCCCCUUCUGCCAUAAAAACUAUUGAUCAAAGUCAGGAAAUGAACAUUGAUGUGGUACUAUUAUCUAAUCCAUGGAUCAAUUUUCCCAGUAAUAGCUUUUACAUAAAAUUGUUUUUAAAUUAUAUUUUCUCAUUCAGGAUCCAGUCCAGGAUUAUAUAUUGCAUUUGGUGGUCAUGUCUCUUCAGUCUCCUUUCCUCUAGAAUGUCCCUCAGCCUUUAUUUGCUUUUCAUGACCUUGACAUUUUUGCAGAGUGCAAGCCAGUUAUUGUGUAGACUGUUCCUUGAUUUGGGUCUGCCAGACGUUUGCUCUUUAUUAGUUUCAGGUAAGGCAUCUUUGGCAUUACCUGAACGAGCCCUGAUCUUGUGGUUUUCUUUGCACAUCAGAUGAGGAGGCUCUUGGUGUGGUUUGGUCUCAUUCUGAUCAAUUUUGAUCAUUCAGUUCAGGUGGUGCCUGACAGUUUUCUCCACCGGUAAGUGGCUACUCCUUCCUUGGUAAUCAACCAGGGAUCUGUGGAGAGUUAUUUUGAGACAAGGUGACAAUCCCGUUUCUCAUCACACUUCCACUCUUUAAUUUUAGCUUCCAUUGGUGAUUCUCCACUGAAACAAGGAUUACGAUGCUUGCCGAAUCUUACAGCGUUCUUGAGAGCGUUAAAAGCAAGUAUGUAUCAAAGGACCUUGACCUAUGAGUUGGAUUUCAAGAGAAAUCAUGUUAAUGUGUCAAUUAUGUUUCAAUAAAGCGGGAGGGGGGGCAGGGAAAAUAUCCCCAGGGAGCAGUCUGAGAUGUGAGCAAAGAUUUGGGUACAAAGCUUUUUCAUGACAUUAUUCAUAAUAGCAUAACUUGGAAAGUCAAGCACACUACAGUAAAUUGAUGUCAAGAAAUAUGAGGCCGUCCUUUAAAGCAACUUUCUGAAGAGAUGUUUUACCAUCAAAUGCUAAGUAAUAAAAGAUAAGGUAUCAAACGGCAUUCGACUACAUGCCCUUUGGUAUCCUGACUUGGCUCCUAGAAGGGGAAAAAGAUGUUGGUGGGAAAACUGGUGAAAUUCAAACAAGCGUCGAGUUAACAGCAAAGUACCAAUAAUGAAUGAUUCGUUUUAAUAAAUACAUCACGGUAUCGUUGCCGGAGGUUGGUCUCUGUCUGCCGGUGGGUGCUGAAUUGAAACACAGAGAAUAGGGUUUUGGGUAAAGCAGACAAAGGAGGCUCGCAGCAGGCUCAUGCCUCAAAGACUGUGCCCCCGCACCCAGCCCCCAUUGGAAAGAAUUGUGAGGCGUUUUGUAAUUAAAAGGAGAAAAACAGGUUUUCGGAUAGGAAUCAGAUUGGCGCAAACAAGCAGUCUUCUUUCUUUGGGGGGAUCUUAGGCUUCAAAGCUGGAGUCAGGAGAUCUCGGUAUGAGCCUCAUGGUGAUCUUCUGGGUUCUUGCCUAGAAUAACAGGGCAUAUGGACUAGAGAUUAGACCGAACUAGGAAAGUUCCUGAAAAAACCUCAUGUGCUAAUAAUCUUUAACCCACAGGCACUUAUGUUCAAAGUGCCUCAUACUUAAUUUACAGGUGAUUAUGUUUAGGGUGCCGUUAAACCAGGGAGAAGGACAAGGAAGGGCUCUAAGCUGUUCAGUGUUAAAGUGUUCAUUUCUAAAAGAAGCAUAAGGAGUCUAAUUUUGCUCUUAGGGGUAUAAGAUGCUUGUGUCAUUAUGUGGGUCCCUUGAGAAGGAACCAGGAUCCUGCCCCGAGGCUCUCCUGUUGUUUCUGGAGGGUUCCUCCCUGGUCUCUGCAUCCCCUCCCCUCCCUCAUCAGGCAACUGUCUGUACCUGCCCCUUGGAACUCAGAGAAGGUCAUGGGGCCGGAAUGAGGCCCAUUUCCUGAGAACAUGCAAUGGGAGACACAGAAAGACUUUUGUGCCCAGUAGCCCCAAAGGGCCCUGCUUGGUUACAGUAUGUAGGAUAUUAAUAUUAGGGGGAACUGGGUCUAGGCUAUGCCGGAACUUGCUAUACUCUUAGUAACUUUCCUAUACGUCUGAAAUUAUUCCUAACUAAUAACUCCAUUUAAAAAAUUGACUUAGCAGUGAUGGAUCUGUUUAUUAUCUGAUUUGUGGUGGUGGUUUCAUGAGCCUAUACACCUGUCAAAACAUUUUAAAUUAUACACAUUAAAUAUGAGCAGUUUAUUGUGUGUCAGUUAUAUCUUGAUCAAGCUUCUUUAAAAAAAAAAACUAUUUGGUAAACUCUCAAUUAUGUUAACAGACAGGCAUAGGAAAAAUACUGGAUGGAAAUCCAUCAGAAUGACCAUUGUCGGUGUCUACAGCUAAUAAGAUGAUCAUCUUUUAGAAAUAAUUUUCUCUAGUUUCCAAAUUCCUUGUAAUGGACAUGCAAGUGAAUAAGCAGAGGGAACUCCCAUUUUCCAGUGGGGUGGUUUGUAAUAGGAAAGCUUCAUCUCCUUGUUUGGGAAGCAUCGGCUCCUGGUAAGAGCGGCCGCCCUUCUCAGUUUUUCCUCAGUAAGGCGAUGCAAGUGAUUACAACCUGAAGAAGGAAGCCAAUGUCUCCCACAUCACCUGGUAACAAAGAGCCUGAAAACAGGCCUGGCAUGAUGGGGAGGCCGGAGCAGUGCUCCUCAAACAUCCCAGGGUGCGAACCUGACCCAGGUGAUGGAGAUCAAGGCGCUGCCCGAGGCCUGAGGCCCCACCAGCUGUCGCCCAUAUUCUCCCGCCCGGGUUAAAGCCCACGAGCCCCGGCCCUUAGCAAGCGAGGCUUUUCCAGAUCUCUGGUGGACCAGCAGGACGUCCCAGGAAGCCAGAGAGCUUCUGCAGCCCCUGGGUUUCUACGUGCUUCCCGUUGCGAACACGUGUUGUCCUCUCCAGCGAAUCUUUGGAAAGUCACCUCGAUGGGGAGGCUCUCCAGGGAGGAACAAUGCAAGAACUCAAGGUAUGCCAGUGAGGGCCUGGACUGUGAGCCUCGUGGGAAGAGUCACAGCAGGAAUGGAAAAGGAUGCUGAGACGGGUCCAUCAAGAAGGAGUGUAAGUCUCGAAAUACUCAUAAAUAUGGACAGCCGAGGUGACAGGCUCCAGGAAGCCGGGACAAGGGCUGCCCCUCCUUGCAGCCGGAACUCGGGUCUGCAAAGGGUAGAUUUAUUCUCGAACUGCGCUGUCCAGGAUGGUAGCCACCAGCUGCAUGGGGCUUUCAGCCUGUGAAAUGUGUCUGGUGGGACUGAGAAACUGAGGUUUAAUUUUAUAGAGAACACAUUCGAAAAACUGAUAUUCAGUGACUGGAGAAUUGUUAACUAUGUUUGGAGCAACUUGGUUACGUAAAUCUUUUUCAACUGAGAAUGUUAUGGAAUUUAUAAAUAUUUCCAGUAAAAAUUUAGCACCUGAAUUAAGAUGCUGGAAACGUAAAAGAGAUACUAUCAAAGAAAUUAGUACCUUUCCAAAAAAUAAUGUAACUGUCUUAUUAAUUUUAUAGCAAGUUAGGUAUGUUGGGUCAAAUAAAUAUAUUAAAAUUUUCCACCUGUUUUAUAAUAUGAAUCCUGUAAAGUAUUAAUUGAUGCAUAUGGUUUGCACAUGUUUUUGGACAGCACUGCUGUAGAGGGUUCAUUUCACUUUAUUUUUGGCAAUGUUAAAUAUUACUAGUAUUUCUAACUUUGAACAAUGUGGUAGCCCCCCCAGAAAUAGUAAUUUUCAAUUUUUCUUUCCUGAGGUGAGAUGUUUUCUUUGGUUUAUUAGCUUGUGAUUCUGGAACCCGUCUAUGUUCAUUUCGCUAUUAGAGAAUUUGUUUUUCAAAUGGGUUCCUGGGUGAGUUAUCUGUGUUAAAUGUCGUAUCACGUUCGAUAUUUGUUGUCUGCCUUUGAAUUCUUGCUUAUGUCCUUUGAUGUAAAGGAGUUUAAAGUUUUUAUAUAGUCUAACGUUUCUUUUAUGUUCAAGAACCAUAUUGAGGUUUUUAUGGUUUGAUUUUUGCUAUUAGAUAUGGGCUUUUUUAAUGUGUGAAAUAAGGAACUGAUGAGAAAUUCUGGAGGAAAAAUGGCUAUUUUUAAAUGAGUUUGAAUUACUCAGUGAGUAUGUGUGUACUUCAUUCUGGUGUGUUGGGGUUUGAGGGGAGGGCAGUGUCAUAUUUUGUCUUUAUAGUUCUGACAGCUCUCAUAGCACUUUGGUUUGCGUUACCUCGUGUAAGACUCAAAAUAACCCAGGCAGGUAGAUGGGGCACGUUAUCACACGUAAGAAAUCAUAUGCUUACCCAAAGGGGGCCAAGUUUAGGACGGAUGGGGUUGGAGCUUCAAUAUGGGCAUUCUGACUUUUGAAGCUGGACACGUGCUGUGUCACUGGGGACCAGAAUACUACUUUCUUAGGUCGUUAAGCGGAUCCUCCAGGAACUCGAAUGAAUAGAACACUUUACUCCUGAAAUGGGUUCCUCGAGGUAAGUGGACCCCAUCUCGUAGGUCUGAGCCUGACUCCUCGCACAUCCAUGGCCUAUUAGGAUUCAAGUAGAUGUCUCUUAAGAUCCUUUUCAAGAUUUUAAACACAUGGACCAUGUGAGUUAUUCUCAAUUCUUUCAAAGAACUACAUUCUUCACAACCUGGAUGUUUUAAAAGGGUGGCAUAUAGGACCAAAGUCAUCGUGGACCCCUAGCCGUGAUGCCAGCCUUCCCCUCCUGCCUUCCUCUGGUGUGGUCUCGGUCCUUGGUUUAGAGUGUGGCUCUCUGGACCUUUUCCUAUAUGUUAAUAUCCGUACCCUUAGAAUCUAUUGUUCUCAUUGAGUGUCAGCAGUAUAUAUGCAUGAUGUGUGUAUCAUUCUUUAAUUUGCUUCUCUCACCACUUAAAUCUCAGAGCAGUAUCAGUAUGCUUAGAUUUCUAACUGCUGUGCAAUGCAUUAUGGUACAGUUACAUCAGAGUCUAUCCAAUUCACCCAGUGGUGGACAUUUGGGUGGUCUUCCUGUUUUGCUAUUAAACGCCAUGCUAUGGACACACUUGUUGAGGCUUUCUUGUUGGCAUGGGCAAAUGUUACCUAGGGGGAGGUGGUGGCAGCUCCAUUCUAGGAUAUGCACUUAUUUUACUGACAAAAUAGUCUCAAAUAGUCAUAGCGAGUUGCCAUCAGCGACAUAUAAAAGUAAUGAUCAUUUAAGUUUAGUGAUUUAAUAGAUGGAAAUGGUAUUUCGUUGUUUACAUUUGUACUUCUCUGAUUGCUAAUAAGGUUGAAGGUCUUUUCAUAUGACUGCUUUCUGCAAAUUUGUCCUUCAUAACCACUGCUCAAAAUUUUCCUUUUAACCAGUAUAAAGGGAUUUUUUUCCUCUAAAGUUAUGUAUUUUUCUCUAGGUAAUGAUUACUGUUACAUGGUACAGAUGUCUUCAAUGUUGCUUGCCUUUGAAGUUUGUUUAUAUUUUGUUAUGCAGAACCUCAACAUUUUAAUACAGUAAAAUUUAUCACUAUUUUAUGGCUUUUAACUUUUUUCUUUUUAGGGCUACACCUGUGGCAUAUGAAUGUUCCCCCAGGCUAACAUUGCUCUAUUCAUGGCAGCUUUAUAUUGUUUUAAUAAAUGGCUGAGUCACCACCAA